GCUCGAGUGGCGAACGGGUGAGUAACACGUGAGUAACCUGCCCUUGACUUUGGGAUAACUUCAGGAAACUGGGGCUAAUACCGGAUAGGAGCUCCUGCUGCAUGGUGGGGGUUGGAAAGUUUCGGCGGUUGGGGAUGGACUCGCGGCUUAUCAGCUUGUUGGUGGGGUAGUGGCUUACCAAGGCUUCGACGGGUAGCCGGCCUGAGAGGGUGACCGGCCACAUUGGGACUGAGAUACGGCCCAG
This 244-nucleotide ribosomal RNA is filed under the name uncultured Actinomycetales bacterium. RNAcentral's name for it is "partial 16S ribosomal RNA". It matches the Rfam family "Bacterial small subunit ribosomal RNA", at positions 89 to 334 of the family's 1533-position model. Lineage: Bacteria; Bacillati; Actinomycetota; Actinomycetes; Actinomycetales. The record is from RNAcentral.